This 778-nucleotide ribosomal RNA is filed under the name uncultured bacterium. Its description in RNAcentral is "bacterial SSU rRNA". It matches the Rfam family "Bacterial small subunit ribosomal RNA", at positions 8 to 796 of the family's 1533-position model. The record is from RNAcentral.
AGAGUUUGAUCAUGGCUCAGGACGAACGCUGGCGGCGUGCCUAACACAUGCAAGUCGAACGGGGUCCAUCCGGUGGCAACACCGGUGAAGACCUAGUGGCGAACGGGUGCGGAACACGUGAGCAACCUGCCCCAAAGACCGGGAUAACAGCGGGAAACCGCUGCUAAUACCGGAUACCCCCACGAGCUCGCAUGGGCUUGUGCGGAAAGGAUUCCGCUUUGGGAGGGGCUCGCGGCCUAUCAGCUUGUUGGUGAGGUAAUGGCUCACCAAGGCAACGACGGGUAGCUGGUCUGAGAGGACGAUCAGCCACACUGGGACUGAGACACGGCCCAGACUCCUACGGGAGGCAGCAGUGGGGAAUCUUGCGCAAUGGGCGAAAGCCUGACGCAGCAACGCCGCGUGGGGGAUGAAGGCCUUCGGGUUGUAAACCCCUUUCAGUGGGAACGAAAUUGACGGUACCCACAGAAGAAGCCCCGGCCAACUACGUGCCAGCAGCCGCGGUGAUACGUAGGGGGCGAGCGUUGUCCGGAUUCAUUGGGCGUAAAGAGCUCGUAGGCGGCUUGGUAAGUCGGGUGUGAAACCCUCAGGCUCAACCUGGGGACGCCACUCGAUACUGCCAUAGCUAGAGUCCGGUAGGGGACCACGGAAUUCCUGGUGUAGCGGUGAAAUGCGCAGAUAUCAGGAGGAACACCGGUGGCGAAGGCGGUGGUCUGGGCCGGCACUGACGCUGAGGAGCGAAAGCGUGGGGANNGAACAGGAUUAGAUACCCCCGUAGUCC